CUUCGGAAGCGCAUGACUCGAACCCGGGACCGACUUGAUGGGAACGCGCAACUCGAACCCGUCACCCCAGAGGACUUCAUGGGCCUGUUGCCAGUGCAUGAUUCGAACCCAGCACUGCCGAGGACUUAAUGCGCCAGUUGGAAGCGCAUCACUCGAACCCGCAACCCACCACUGCCAAGGACUUCAUGCGCCAGUUGGAAGCGCGUCACUCGAACCCUCAACCCACCGCUGCCAAGGACUUCAUGCGCCAGUUGGAAGCGCAUGACUCGAACCCAGGACCGGCUUGAUGGGAGCGCGCAACUCGAACCCGUCACCCCAGAGGACUUCAUGUGCCUGUUGCCAGUGCGUGAUUCGAACCCAGCACUGCCGAGGACUUCAUGCGCCUGUUGGAAGCGCAUGACUCGAACCCGGGACCGAGGGCUUCUUGCGCCCGUUGGAAGCCUGCGACUUGAACCCGCCGCCGCCGAGGACUUCGUGCGCCUGUUGUGAGUGCGCAAGACUCGAACCCGCCGCUGCCGAGGACUUCAUGCGCCUGUUGUGAGUGCGCAAGACUCGAACCCGCCGCCGCCGAGGACUUCGUGCGCCUGUUGUCAGUGCGCAAGACUCGAACCCGCCGCCGCCGAGGACUUCAGGCAUCCAUGGACUUGAACCCGCGACUGCUGAGGACUUCGGCACCCUUUGGAAGAGCGUGACUCGAACCCGGGACCGAGGACUUCUGCGCACGUCGGAAGCACGACUCGAACCCGCCGCCAUCUACCCUCGCCAUCUACCUCUCUUGCUGCGCAGUGUUGCCUCUUUUGGGGGGCGGACCCCCCAUUGACUCCCCCAAAACAGCCCAUAUUCUGAGAUUUCCCACCCAGAUUCUGAGGUUUUGCCCCGUUUCGCCUCCCAGAUUCUGAGAUUUCCCAGCAAAUUCUGAGAUUUGCCCCCCAAAUUCUGAGAUUUCCCAGCAAAUUCUGAGAUUUGCCACCCAGAUUCUGAGAUUUCCCCCCGUUUCGCCCCCCAAAUUCUGAGAUUUGCCGCCCAAAUUCUGAGAUUUCCCCCCAAAUUCUGCCGUUUGCCCCCUGAAUUCUGACAUUUGCCGCCCAAAUUCUGAGUAUUCCCAGCAAAUUCUGAGAUUUGCCCCCAAAUUCUGAGAUUUCCCCCCAAAUUCUGAGAUUUGCCACCCAGAUUCUGAGAUUUCCCCCCGUCCCCCCCCAAAUUCUGAGAUUUGCCGCCCAAAUUCUGAGAUUUCCCCCCAAAUUCUGCCGUUUGCCCCCUGAAUUCUGACAUUUGCUGCCCAAAUUCUGAGUAUUCCCAGCAAAUUCUGAGAUUUGCCCCCCAAAUCCUGAGAUUUCCCCCCAAAUUCUGACAUUUGCCGCCCAAAUUCUGAGAUUUCCCCCCGUUUCCCCCCCAAAUUCUGAGAUUUGCCCCCAAAUUUUGAGAUUUGCCGCCCAAAUUCUGAGAUUUCCCCCCGUUUCCCCCCCCCAAAUUCUGAGAUUUCCCAGCAAAUUCUGACAUUUGCCGCCCAAAUUCUGAGAUUUCCCCCCGUUUCCCCCCCCAAAUUCUGAGAUUUCCCAGCAAAUUCUGAGGUUUGCCACCCAGAUUCUGAGAUUUCCCCCCGUUUUGCCCCCCAAAUCCUGAGAUUUCCCCCCAAAUUCUGAGAUUUGCCACCCAGAUUCUGAGAUUUCCCCCCGUUUUGCCCCCCAAAUCCUGAGAUUUCCCCCCAAAUUCUGACAUUUACCCCCCCAAUUCUAAGAUUUGCCCCCAAAUUCUGAGAUUUCCCCACAAAUUCUUACAUUUGCCACCCAGAUUCUGAGAUUUCCCCCCGUUUUGCCCCCCAAACUCUGAGAUUUCCCAGCAAAUUCUGACAUUUGCCCCCCCAAUUCUAAGAUUUGCCCCCGUUUUGCCCCCCAAUUUCUGACAUUUGCUGCCCAAAUUCCGACAUUUACCCACCAAUUCUAAGAUUUCCCCCCAAAUUCUGACAUUUGCCCCCCAAAUUCUGCAUUUCCCCCAUUUUGCCCCCUGAAUUCUGACAUUUGCUGCCCAAAUUCCGACAUUUACCCCCCAAUUCUAAGAUUUGCCCCCCAAUUCUGACAUUUGCCGCCAUUUUAUGGGGCAGAAACUCUUUAUGGGGUGGAAAAUACCAUUUAAUGUCUUCAAAUGGGGGAGAAAAAUAUUUGGGUUUCUGUGGAAAAUUCCAUUUAAUGUCUUCAAAUGGGGGAGAAAAAUAUUUGGGUUUCUGUGGAAAAUACCAUUUAAUGUCUUCAAAGGGGGGAGUUUGUGUGUUUAUAUAUAUAUAUAUUAAUAUAUAUAUAUUAAUAGUAUAUAUAUUAAUAAUAUAUAUAUAUUAAUAAUAAUACCAUUUAAUGUCUUCAAAUGGGGGAGAAAAAUAUUUGGGUUUCUGUGGAAAAUUCCAUUUAAUGUCUUCAAAGAGGGGAG
RNAcentral lists this long non-coding RNA (2421 nucleotides) under Podarcis lilfordi (Lilford's wall lizard). Lineage: Eukaryota; Metazoa; Chordata; Lepidosauria; Squamata; Lacertidae. The record is from RNAcentral.